UUUCUUGCAGCUAUUUUGAGUUUUGUUCUCCUCGGUUUGCGGAGGCUUCUAAAAAUGCAUUAGUUUCCAGCUUCCCAGGUGAGAGCCGAGGUCUCCAAAGAGCAAAGUGGAUUCUGGCUGAAGCUGAGUCAGUAAUCAGCUUUGUUGGCCUUUGACUCUACCCAAUUUGCUUGCUCUGAGGAGGUGUGUAGAGUGAAUGUACACACAGAAAAUGUGUCAUGGUUCCUGUAUUCCAGGAAGAAAGAUGCCCCACAGGCUCACUCCUCCAGCCUUCUUUUCCAGCAGGGGACCCAGAAGGACAGCUGGGAAAGCAGCAAGAUGACCAUCUACGUGUUGUCCUUUGGGAAUGACUUUCAAGUUCAUGGCUGCGGUGGCUGCUACCCAAAGUCAACAGCACGGAAACCUUCCUGUUAUAUCAGAACCUCUAUCUAAAAAUGGAUUGACUCAAUAGGAAAGCAACAGCAAAAGGGACAUUGAUGUGAAAGGAAGGUCAAUGAAAACCACCUUGCUUUCAGUCUGAGGGUUAGUUGUACUCUAACAUGAAAAAGGAAGAUUUUCUUUCAGAGACUGGCCUGGCAUGCUUAACCUUAACCUUGUCAGUUACAAGGACGUUUAAACAUUUAAAUGAAGGCGUUUCAGAGGAUGUUGAACUAGAAGAUUUUCAAGUUGCUUUCUCAGAUAAAGGUUGUUCUUUCUCAGAUAAGGUUAUGUCUUCAAAGGCACUUUUUUUUUCU
This is a long non-coding RNA of Lynx canadensis (Canada lynx), 734 nucleotides long. RefSeq lists it as uncharacterized. NCBI's taxonomy places the organism in Eukaryota, Metazoa, Chordata, Mammalia, Carnivora, Felidae. The record is from RefSeq and is a predicted model, not a curated record. The transcript has 3 exons.